Molecule: ribosomal RNA, 489 nt
Filed under: uncultured Glomeromycotina
Lineage: Eukaryota; Fungi; Glomeromycota
Description: SSU rRNA
Rfam family: Eukaryotic small subunit ribosomal RNA
Source: RNAcentral
AGCAGCCGCGGUAAUUCCAGCUCCAAUAGCGUAUAUUAAAGUUGUUGCAGUUAAAAAGCUCGUAGUUGAAUUUCGGGAUCAAUAUGUUGGUCGUGCCUUGGUACGUACUGGCAUUAUCGAUUCCUACCUUCUGAAGAACCUCGAUGUCAUUAAUUUGGUGUCUUGGGGAAUCAGGACUGUUACUUUGAAAAAAUUAGAGUGUUUAAAGCAAGCUCGCGCUUGAAUACAUUAGCAUGGAAUAAUGAAAUAGGACGUUUGAUUCUAUUUUGUUGGUUUCUAGGAUCGACGUAAUGAUUAAUAGGGAUAGUUGGGGGCAUUAGUAUUCAAUUGUCAGAGGUGAAAUUCUUGGAUUUAUUGAAGACUAACUACUGCGAAAGCAUUUGCCAAGGAUGUUUUCAUUAAUCAAGAACGAAAGUUAGGGGAUCGAAGACGAUCAGAUACCGUCGUAGUCUUAACCAUAAACUAUGCCGACUAGGAAUCGGAUGAUGU